RNAcentral lists this ribosomal RNA (207 nucleotides) under uncultured bacterium. Its description in RNAcentral is "partial 16S ribosomal RNA". It matches the Rfam family "Bacterial small subunit ribosomal RNA", at positions 568 to 774 of the family's 1533-position model. The record is from RNAcentral.
GGUGUAGGCGGUUCAGUAAGUCGGAUGUGAAAUCCUACGGCCUAACCGUGGAACUGCAUCCGAUACUGCUGAACUUGAGGACGGUAGAGGCCGGUGGAAUUCCCGGUGUACCGGUGAAAUGGGCAGAUAUCGGGAGGAACACCAGUGGCGAAGGCGGCCGGCUGGGCCGAUCCUGACGCUGAGACCCGAAAGCCAGGGUAGCGAACC